GCCUUGGUGGUGUAGUGGUAAUACCCACAGCAUUCGUUACGUUACUGUGAGUUCCUGGUUCGAUUCCAGGUCAAGGCU
Non-coding RNA from Xylariaceae sp. AK1471, 78 nucleotides. NCBI's taxonomy places the organism in Eukaryota, Fungi, Ascomycota, Sordariomycetes, Xylariales, Xylariaceae. The record is from the annotation of a GenBank genome assembly.